AGUGAACGCUGGCGGUAGGCCUAACACAUGCAAGUCGAACGGCAGCACAGUAAGAGCUUGCUCUUACGGGUGGCGAGUGGCGGACGGGUGAGGAAUACAUCGGAAUCUACUUUUUCGUGGGGGAUAACGUAGGGAAACUUACGCUAAUACCGCAUACGACCUACGGGUGAAAGCAGGGGAUCUUCGGACCUUGCGCGAUUGAAUGAGCCGAUGGCGGAUUAGCUAGUUGGCGGGGUAAAGGCCCACCAAGGCGACGAUCCGUAGCUGGUCUGAGAGGAUGAUCAGCCACACUGGAACUGAGACACGGUCCAGACUCCUACGGGAGGCAGCAGUGGGGAAUAUUGGGCAAUGGGCGCAAGCCUGACCCAGCCACACCGCGUGGGUGAAGAAGGCCUUCGGGUUGUAAAGCCCUUUUGUUGGGAAAGAAAAGCAGCAGGUUAAUACCCGGCUGUUCUGACGGUACCCAAAGAAUAAGCACCGGCUAACUUCGUG
Molecule: ribosomal RNA, 492 nt
Filed under: uncultured bacterium
Lineage: Bacteria
Description: partial 16S ribosomal RNA
Rfam family: Bacterial small subunit ribosomal RNA
Source: RNAcentral